This 218-nucleotide ribosomal RNA is filed under the name Acinetobacter baumannii. RNAcentral describes it as "partial 16S ribosomal RNA". It matches the Rfam family "Bacterial small subunit ribosomal RNA", at positions 1 to 217 of the family's 1533-position model. Lineage: Bacteria; Pseudomonadati; Pseudomonadota; Gammaproteobacteria; Moraxellales; Moraxellaceae. The record is from RNAcentral.
AAAUUGAAGAGUUUGAUCAUGGCUCAGAUUGAACGCUGGCGGCAGGCUUAACACAUGCAAGUCGAGCGGUAGCACAGAGAGCUUGCUCUCGGGUGACGAGCGGCGGACGGGUGAGUAAUGUCUGGGAAACUGCCUGAUGGAGGGGGAUAACUACUGGAAACGGUAGCUAAUACCGCAUAACGUCGCAAGACCAAAGUGGGGGACCUUCGGGCCUCAUG